This 441-nucleotide ribosomal RNA is filed under the name uncultured bacterium. Its description in RNAcentral is "partial 16S ribosomal RNA". It matches the Rfam family "Bacterial small subunit ribosomal RNA", at positions 355 to 788 of the family's 1533-position model. The record is from RNAcentral.
UAGGGAAUCUUCGGCAAUGGACGAAAGUCUGACCGAGCAACGCCGCGUGAGUGAAGAAGGUUUUCGGAUCGUAAAACUCUGUUGGUAGAGAAGAACGUUGGUGAGAGUGGAAAGCUCAUCAAGUGACGGUAACUACCCAGAAAGGGACGGCUAACUACGUGCCAGCAGCCGCGGUAAUACGUAGGUCCCGAGCGUUGUCCGGAUUUAUUGGGCGUAAAGCGAGCGCAGGUGGUUUAUUAAGUCUGGUGUAAAAGGCAGUGGCUCAACCAUUGUAUGCAUUGGAAACUGGUAGACUUGAGUGCAGGAGAGGAGAGUGGAAUUCCAUGUGUAGCGGUGAAAUGCGUAGAUAUAUGGAGGAACACCGGUGGCGAAAGCGGCUCUCUGGCCUGUAACUGACACUGAGGCUCGAAAGCGUGGGGAGCAAACAGGAUUAGAUACCCU